This 497-nucleotide ribosomal RNA is filed under the name uncultured bacterium. Its description in RNAcentral is "partial 16S ribosomal RNA". It matches the Rfam family "Bacterial small subunit ribosomal RNA", at positions 28 to 507 of the family's 1533-position model. The record is from RNAcentral.
GAUGAACGCUGGCGGCGUGCCUAAUACAUGCAAGUCGAGCGAACAGACGAGGAGCUUGCUCCUCUGACGUUAGCGGCGGACGGGUGAGUAACACGUGGAUAACCUACCUAUAAGACUGGGAUAACUUCGGGAAACCGGAGCUAAUACCGGAUAAUAUAUUGAACCGCAUGGUUCAAUAGUGAAAGACGGUCUUGCUGUCACUUAUAGAUGGAUCCGCGCCGCAUUAGCUAGUUGGUAAGGUAACGGCUUACCAAGGCAACGAUGCAUAGCCGACCUGAGAGGGUGAUCGGCCACACUGGAACUGAGACACGGUCCAGACUCCUACGGGAGGCAGCAGUAGGGAAUCUUCCGCAAAGGGCGAAAGCCUGACGGAGCAACGCCGCGUGAGUGAUGAAGGUCUUCGGAUCGUAAAACUCUGUUAUUAGGGAAGAACAAAUGUGUAAGUAACUAUGCACGUCUUGACGGUACCUAAUCAGAAAGCCACGGCUAACUACGUG